Gallus gallus (chicken) is the source of this 826-nucleotide long non-coding RNA. The record is from Ensembl. Lineage: Eukaryota; Metazoa; Chordata; Aves; Galliformes; Phasianidae.
AGCUGAAAAAGUGAUCUGAGUACUGCAGAAGUCUUUCAUUGGAAUGCUUCAGUAUUCAGCUGACUUUUCUCAGCAGUCCUACAGCAAGGCUAGGUGGUGCAGAAGGAGGGCUCCAAACCUCAGCUGACCACACUGAUGUGUAUUUUGAGAUUUUUAGACUUCUCAUGUAGGCAGUUUUCAAAAAUUGAUACAGAGGAAAUAGAUACUUUUCUGCCAGUGGAAAUUCUUCAUGCUGAGUUGUAAGAAGUUCCAUGGACCGUUUAGCUAUUAAAGGCUGACUGUCCAUAUGGCUUCCUCCACUCAUAGAUGGUAGUAAUCAGGAUGGUACCUGCAGCUGACAACAGAGGGAUCUGACAAAAUGAUGUCUGAUGUGGAAGUGGGUAUGAAGCAAAGAUAUGUCAUCUGAAGGAUGUGGAGAGAUCAUUGCUCUGGUAGAACCAUGAUGGGCCCUAUGGCAUUGAGGAACAGUGAGCUUCAGAAUGCUGCAGGUAAGAACUGGGACCACUCAGAAUUAUCUUCUCACCUUCUCUUCUUCUCUACUCUGUACAUAUGUUCCACUUUUCUAGGCAAGGAGAUCAUCAAGAAUCCUCCGUGUAGCAGUAAUGGGGAGAAGCAAGGCAUGCCUCAACAUCACCUUGUUGCUAUAUAUUUGUGCUUCAAGUGCUUUUUGACAUUUCUUUUUGACAUCUGGGGCUCCUAGCCCCAUUCAAGUGGUGCCCUUAUCAUGCACCUUUCCCAUGCAGCUGAGUUAAACCUCAGAAUUAAUGAAAUCAGUGACAAAACUGAGUCAGCUUCAGAAGUGUCCCAGUUUUACUAUGAAUGUGAC